Molecule: long non-coding RNA, 2256 nt
Organism: Photinus pyralis (common eastern firefly)
Lineage: Eukaryota; Metazoa; Arthropoda; Insecta; Coleoptera; Lampyridae
Exons: 5
Source: RefSeq, a predicted model, not a curated record
UUUUCACUUAUAAUUGCACAAGAGGUUUGUAUUUUACCGAGUAAAUUUGGGUUGUUUAGGUAAUGAAAAUCUGUUGCCUAGCAAUUAGACGAGAAAAACUGUCAACUAAUAAAAAUGCGACACCUGUAACCAGCUCGAAGAAUGUGGUGAUUGAAGGCGUCGCUAGUUGGAGGGAUACUACAUAUCUCGCGGUUCUUCUUUAUGAAGAGGGCUUUCCUCAUUUCGCUGACAUCGACGAAUUCCAACGAUCUGUUGAUGUCUUGCCUCAAACCUUCAUAAUUUGUAGUAUUUAGAGUAAUCGUAUUGGGGUCGAUAGACCGGAUCGACUCGGCUAAUUUAUUAUAUCUAAAUAACAAAAGGUAGAAUUCAAUGUGAAAUUGACAAAGUCAUUACGUUUUGGAAUAAUAACCAUUUACCGUCCAUAGUGAUCAUUUACAAAUUAAAUUUUCUUUUAAUCGACGUAUCAGGUUCCUAAAAAAUGAAAUCCAUGAAAGAAUAACUGUAUGCCAUGGUGUAUAAUAAAAUGUAAAAAUGCACGUGGAAGUUCAAACAUAUUUUAUGGGUCAUUUUAAAUUCCAGCGUCAUUUGGCUAACACUGCAAUUACAAUUGGUCAAAUCCCAAUCAGUUAUGUUGCUAUUUGUCUAAUUGCAAAUCCCUACUGAGAUAACGUUAUUCAAACGUCUCGUUAACGCAUCUGAAACAAUCGUUGAAAUGUGUACCUGAUGGUAAUUUAUUUAUAUUUUUAGCGCAUUUAUCCUUGUGUUUAUAUCUAAAGACCCACCUUACAACUCAACCAUUUACUAUGCUAUUUCGGUUUUAAAAAAAUGCGCUUUUCUGCACAAGAGUUGUACACAAAUUAGAUUUGUUUUAUGUUGUCCUAUUUUGAGUCAUGAGGAAAUGGUAUGGCUACCUUAUCAUUUAUUUAUGACCCAUACUGGAUACUGCCAAUAUCGUGUACCAAUUUAUCAUUCUGGGAAAACAAUUUUAUGAUCGACACUGUUUUCUUCAUAUUGCCCUUGCGUAGAUAAAAAUGUUGUACCUUUAUUUUUGUUAAUCUAACUAUAAUCCACAAUAAACCACUGUCCUUCUCGAUCGCAAUGAAAAUAUCGACGAUGGUUUUUUCCGCAUAAAAUUUUCGAGUUUAUAAUCGCCCACAAUUCCGAAUAAUUAAACUGCCUAAUCACUGUACACUGAUACACUCAUACAUCAAUUACGAAAAAAGAAGUGACGCGUUUCCUCAUUAUAAGAGUUUUACCAUCCGACUGACUGUUAAGUGUUGCAAUGCAGAGUACCGUCAUUGAUUAUAUAGUUAGUGUAUGUAAUCAAUGGUACCGUAUACCUUUUUAGACGCGGAAUAAGUAGCAGUAGAUGUAGAUAUAAAGUAUAGCCAGUGUGCAUAAUGGAAAUGGUAAAGAGCAUUUUUUACAAUUGAAGGAGGCAUCAAAUCACCGACAACAUUCAAGUCAAGCGAUCAAGCUGGAUAUUCAUCAGCAUAUGGUUGACCCUCAAAUCGACCGGUCUAUCAAAUAGACAAUUUUAUAAGGCGAUAUGUGUCGUUUGGCUAGCACUAUUUCUUGCACUAAAUGGUAUAAUGUUGGGCAUGGGUGCAGUAGAACUACCCGUCUGUCCAAUACUACCCAAAAUACCAUUAUACAUGCUAGUAGCUGGUGUGAUUGGUAUUAUAUCUAAAUUGUUACGACGAAUUGAAAACUUCACUGGCGCAUAAUUGAUGUGCUGGUGUAUGUUGCACACUUAUUUGAUUUUAUUUGGCUUAUAUUAGGAUCUGUGUGGAUCUACAGUCACAAACCCAACUUCAACCCAAAGGUAGGACCGUAUUGCGACUCGACUUUCUCCUUGGUGACACUUCAUUGGAUAUUUCUAGCUGGAUUUUUCGUUACAGUACUUUGUUGUUAUCACCGUGCCCAUUUUACCUAUGAAACACUGUAACAGUUUCUAACGCUAUCGAUCCCUCAGUACUGUGGUAUUACAACUUACAUAUAACGUGUGAAAUUGCUUCUGAAUUUCAUUGUACGUAUCUAAUCUAUAGAAAACCAUGCAUUGAAGGAUUCUUACUGAAAAACAAGCACGGAUUUACUAAAUUACACAACAUUUCAUUAUUGAAAUGCAUGGUUAAUUAAAUCGUUUUAGGAAUUGUAUCUAUGCUUUUAUCUUAAUUAGCUCUCGACAUUUAUACACGAGUUAUACCAAGUUUAGGGACUGCAAUGUUUUUAUAAUCCUAUUUGAUACAAAUAAAA